Homalodisca vitripennis (glassy-winged sharpshooter) is the source of this 283-nucleotide long non-coding RNA. RefSeq lists it as uncharacterized. The transcript is spliced from 2 exons. Lineage: Eukaryota; Metazoa; Arthropoda; Insecta; Hemiptera; Cicadellidae. The record is from RefSeq and is a predicted model, not a curated record.
UACAUUCACCUUCCUGAAAUGUGAUAAGCCUCCAGAACUACCAAAUCAGCCGGCCUAUCCCCAAGGAAAGGUACCCAUUAACAAGAAAAAGAUACAGGAUUUGAGAAAAUUAACUGAGUACACGAGAGGUUAUGAACAUUUUUAUAAUGCAAUCCUACUGUGGCCUACAACUGACUCUGAAAACCCUGAGGAAGUGGAUCAAGGGUGUGAAUAAGUUGCACUUCUGUCUUUUUAUUUGCAAAUAGAUGUUUUCUCUGUAAUAAAUAAUCAUUUUUGACACUUG